UGAGGAUGUGGGUUUGAUCCCUGGCUUCCCUCAGUGGGUUAAGGAUCUGGCAUGACGCAAGCUGCAGUGUAUGUCAUAGAUGUGGCUUGGAUCUGGCAUUGCAGUGGCUGUGUUGCAGGCCGGCAGCUGCAGCUCCAAUCUGACCCCUAGUUUGGGAACUUCCAUGUGCAGCAGGUGUCUUCCUAAAUGAAAACAAACAAACAAACAAAAAAUCCCACUGUGCACUGUGGUACCAGUGUUUGUUUGUUUCUUGUUAGGAUGAUAUAAGUGCCAGGGAAUCAGGAACACCACAUUUUUCCUUCAACCUUCCUGCUUCAGGUUGGUGGUGAUUUGAUGUCGUGAAUUCCCCAGCUGCCUCAUUGGUCCCUAUUUGGCUUUUGAGCUCCUUCUUUUCCUCUGAAACCAAUGUUCUACAUUAAAUUCCUUCCACACUGAAUAUUUAGGGUCAUUUUUGUUUUCUUAGCCAUGCUCUAAAUGAUCCGGUCAUUGACAAAAAAAGGAAAGAGUGCUGUUGGGAUCAUCCUUCUAAUCUGCAAAACAAGUGGUUUAGCUGCAAGAUGAACUUCCAUCUUUCAUACUUGAAGGUCCCAUAGAUGGCAUUUCCUAAAGGGUGGUCCAAGGAUCACUGGUGUCAGAAUUUCCUGAGAAGUUUGCUAAAGAGGCAUAUUCUUGGACUCAUUCAUAACCACUAACUCUGGGAUAUGGCUGGAGAAUCUAAAAUUCUAGUCAACUCCCUAUGAGAUUCUUAUAAAAAAUAAAAUUUGAGAUCAAAUGUCUACCAUCUUUGAUCUUCUUGGGAAUGUUUUGCAGAGAAGUGAUACCAUGUGCAUAUCAAGAGAUUCUGAAAGAUUUUAAUUUACUCUAUUUCAAGAGAUGCCAUCUGUCAAAUUAAGUGAUUUACGUGAAUUUAGUUAGUAUUUAAAAUGCACAUUCUAUAUAUCUUUCAGAAGUAAACUAAGUCUUAAGCAGGGGUAAAUGUAUUUCACACACUGCUAAGGAGUUUUACAAUCCACAAAGUAAGAAUACAUGAAAUAUAAAACUGUAUGUGGACUAAAAUUUUAUGCCUUUUUUGCUAGACUAGUGAUUGCCUAAUCUAAUUUUAUCGUAUUCCAAGGAAAAUUAAUUUAUGUAAGGGAUCAAGUAUUUUGAAUAGAUUUCCAAUAAAAAUAAAUUUUUUAUAUGGGUACUUAAAUUAUGCACCAUCCAACACUUUCAAGAGAAACUAAAAAGACAGUUUGCUUCAUUUACAAAAUGUGGUAAUAAGUGUUCUUAGCUUUGGUUCUCCUAAAGAGCAAAGCUUGAGGCAAGUGCUUAGGUGUCAGUUUUGGGAAGUGAACUCAGAGAGAAAGGGAGAGGGAACCGGGAAGAGAAGAGCCAACCCAAGAGGAUGCUGUCAACUGAUUGCGACCAAGAAUAGCAGGGAGGGAUCCCAGCAGGGAUACUUUGAUGAGACAAACAGAAUACAUGUAUAUCAAAAUUGCUCUCCAUUGGACAGAGGAGGAGACCAUUUAUCCACCAGGUCUUAUCCUUCCUUGGUCAAGGGUUCCCUAAUGGUCUGUUCGCUCCUCACACUUCUAGGCACGUGCACAGGUCAGAAUGACUACUUGGGUCUCUGUACCAAUGUUACUUGGUGGUUAGGUAACUCUGGGGCAAGCUGCUGGAAAUGUACACCUGCCCACAGCUGUUGCCAUAUUAACGACUUCUGUGAAAAUGUGGGCGAAUUAUGGCACAUAGCCCAAGAAGGAUGUAUUCAUUUUCAGAUAUUUAAUAAUCAAAAUGAUUCCUCAAACAAACAAGCAUUUUUUUUUCAAAUACAUGAAUUGUAAAUAUUUUAUCUUCAGAGAUGGUUUUGGUAUUUUUAGUCUAGAUUAUGUUUAUGCCCAAUUUCUUUGCCUCCUGGCCUGAUGGGAAACAUUUGUCCCUUUGUAGUUAACAUGCAAAACUUGGAAAGUACCCAUGAAAUAAAAGCAGGUUAAAAUAAAUUCCCUAUGAGCUAUGUCUUGAAAUUGUUUAUUUGGGAACUGGAGAGUCUUGUUGGACACUGAGCAGAUUAUGGUGUUGCCACCAAAAGGACUUCUAAGCAUAGGUGGCUUUUAAAUCAUUUUGAUAGUAACGUAAGCUGUGGCAUGCUGGAACCAUUUGAAAAAGUGCAUGCUUAUUUAGAAUAAGCACAAUGAGUCAUUUUUUCUUCUCCGGAUGGUCUCAAAGUCCUCCACGUCAUUUUCUACCCCAAUUCUCCCUCUGAGUUUCUCACUGCUCACUAAACUCUCUCCCUAUUUUCUGUAUAUUUUGUUAAACAGGAAAGGAAGGAAAGAAUAUUCUCUACCUUUUAUUUCUGCUGGUGUAGAUUCAUUUUUAUUUACCUGUAUCUAACUCUGCUUUCUUCCAGAAACAAUUUAGACUCUCAGUGCUAGUUUAUAACCUGGGUCUAGUAUGAACAUAGACCCCUGAUUUUGUCAGUCUAGGGUUUGACUCCUGAUUCCACCAUUUAUAAACUGUGUGAAUUUGAAAUGUCCCUUAGCUUAUUUGAACCUUAUGUUCCCUUUUGGGAAAUGAGGUUAAUCCUAUCUUUCUUAGAAAAUUAUUUGAAACAUAAAUGAGGUAAUAGAUGGAAAGACUAGCAUAGGGUCUGACAUUUUCGAUAAAUGGUAAGUAUCAUCAUUAUUUAGUGCUGUCCCUAAUUUGUGUUUUUCAUCAACAUCCUUAGAUGUCCUCUAUGAGUUUAGUAAUAACUAUAUGGACAGGAUCUUCUGGUAACAAGAACUUGAAAUUAAACUGAUGCUCUUUGACCCAGAGUGCUAAUGAACUAAAUCAGUGGAGAAAGGCAAAUGGAAACAAGACGGAACAAAUCUUGUUUAACAACAAAUCUGGCUAGCAGAAAGAAGAAUGGUUCUCAGAAGAAGCCUCAAAGCAAAACCUCUAGACCUCUGACCCAACUGGGAAAAGGUAAUUGAGAGCUGACUUUCUUUGGAUGAGAACUUCCAAAGUGAAUAGCUUUUAUUGAACCUAUCAAAGUCAGAAAUAGUAAUAAGUUUUGUGGCUAUAUUUGCAAUAAUGUAAAAAGAAUGUAAACUUCCUAUCUGCACAAUGAAGAAAUGGUUCUUGGCCUUAUUUUGUGCUCUUCAAUCUCAUGCAAAGUGAGGUCAGUACCACAGUACAACAUUUUAGUCAAGUUGGUGGUUCAUGUGGGCAACGUGAAGGCAAAAACAGUAAGAAAAUGAAGUUGUGUUCUGAGAUCUAAACGAUGAACUACACUGGAGUGUAUGUAUGAGCCAUACAUGUGAGUGAACCAGAAACAUGUAUACAAAAGUGGGGAGGAAGAGUUUGGGAACUUCUCAAAUGCUUAUUAAUGUAUGUUGUUUGUAACAUCAGAAAGACAGGACAACACUAAGAUUGGAGUAAGGUGAGCAGGAUCCUAAUCAACAGCUUUCAAUUCUAUUUGGAGAGACUACGAGAUUCAAAAAGAAUGGUCAGCUUGAAACAUGGGAAAGAGAGGUCAGGGACCCAGAAUUUUACAAGGUUUGUCUAGAGAGAUCCCAAAAGAGAAAGCCACUAGGUGUGAUAAGCAAGAGUCCUGUCACCAGAAAGAUGUUUUCCUCUGAGGAGGGGUGCUUACCUGAUUUCAGUUACACAAUAAUAUCACAGAAAUCUCAGCACAGUUUUUUGAAAUUGAAUUGCUUGCAUAUCCAGAGUUAUGGUUAAGUUUGGGAGCUGACCAUCCCAAAGUAGGAAAUGAAGUCUUGAAGUUAUUUAUAUUUUGUGGAGCUGUCUUAGCAGAGCAUGAACACUCUGCGUUACUAAACUCAAAAUAUUGAUAUAUCUGUGUUCCAUCUGCUUGGAAUGCACAUCUCCAGAUGUGCAUCUUUUCCUUCCUUAGGAAGGAUGGACCCAUCUUAUUCUUCCUUAGGAAGCAUUUUCUAACAGCUUCUCUGAAGUCAUGUCACCUCCUUGACACAGCCAGCCCUCCUCCCACCCAAUGACCUGAACUCACUGAGUGCCUAGUGUGAAUCUCUGUUUAGCAGGUUCACUAUCUGAUAUGACCUUAUUACUUAUCUAUUUUUGCUUGUAUAUUAUAAGUCUCUGCACAAAAAUGUGAAGUCUCUGAAUAUGAAGGAUAUGCCUAUCUUAUUUAACAAUAAGUCCUCAGGAGUCAGAAUAGUAACUAAUGUUUAGUAGAUGACCAAUCACAAAUGUGUGUUGAAUAAAUGAAUUAGUGAAUGAGUCAAUAUAAUAAUGAACUAGAUUUGUGGUUGCAUUUUUCUGCUGUUAACUCAACACCAGUGCAUUAGUUUUAGCAAAUCAAGAUCUUUAAUAUCCAGUUAUUAUUGUUGGUUUCCAAAAUCUUUUUGUGUAUUUAUGGUAAAUCUCUGGUUUUUAAAGUUUUAUUUUUUCUGCUUAUCACAAUAUAUUAUCCUAAAAUAGCAGACUUAAGAAUACAUAUGAAUGCUUUUCUUUAAAGGGUGUAAUCACAUUAUUCAACCUUAUGUACUCGCAGACAAAAAAAAAUAUUUUGUAUGUUAUAUAUAUUUCAGAAAGCUACGGAUAAAACCAAGGACUCGGGGUAAAGGAAUGGAAUGAAUUUGAUAACGUUUCACAAAUCAGCACGUGCUAGGUGAUUUGAGGGGUUGAGGGCACCAGUGUUGUUCUGUUCUUUACUAACCUGGAUGAUUUGAAGGAGAGCUUGGAACUGUGCAGGGUCUAAACAGCAUCUGUGAAACAGCCAGCCAAUCAUUUGCUAUGUACCAGGUAAUG
Molecule: long non-coding RNA, 4752 nt
Filed under: Sus scrofa (pig)
Lineage: Eukaryota; Metazoa; Chordata; Mammalia; Artiodactyla; Suidae
Description: lncRNA (ENSSSCG00000053854.1)
Source: RNAcentral